RNAcentral lists this ribosomal RNA (204 nucleotides) under Triticum aestivum (bread wheat). RNAcentral's name for it is "partial small subunit ribosomal RNA". The record is from RNAcentral. Lineage: Eukaryota; Viridiplantae; Streptophyta; Magnoliopsida; Poales; Poaceae.
AUGUUUGAUACGAAGAAAAAACUGAAGUAUGUGGUGAUAAAGUGGGCUAUGUCUACGCAGAGGGUUUUCCGGACACAUAUAUCAAGUCCAACAAACUACAUUGUGAAGUGUGUUGAAAAUGUUGUCCUGGGAAGGUCCACGGGCACGUGCCGAAGUAUGACAUUCACUGUGUUGUCACCGAUGUCGUCCCACACAAUUGUGUGA